GAGAAUCGAGCGAAGUCACUGCCAGGGACAAAGAUCACUGCUAGGGGAACAAACAGGAUCACCGGGAAUCAGAGACUGAUGUUGGGAAUAAGUCAGGGAUCACAAUUACCAAAGCUGGGGGAUCUUCCAACAGUACGCAGAGACAAGGAUAAGAUCAGUCAGAGGAGUCAUCUACUGGGGAUCUUAUCGGGAAGUGAUGUAGAAUUCUGUGGGGAACAACCACC
This 224-nucleotide long non-coding RNA is filed under the name Lathyrus oleraceus (garden pea). Its description in RNAcentral is "Pisum sativum (pea) long non-coding RNA (PSAT_LNC011756)". The record is from RNAcentral. Lineage: Eukaryota; Viridiplantae; Streptophyta; Magnoliopsida; Fabales; Fabaceae.